CGAGCGGCGGACGGCUGAGUAACACGUAGGAACGUACCCCAAAGUGAGGGAUAACUGCUCGAAAGAGUAGCUAAUACCGCAUGUGAUCUUCGGAUUAAAGCUCCGGCGCUUUGGGAACGGCCUGCGUAAGAUUAGCUUGUUGGUAAGGUAAUGGCUUACCAAGGCGACGAUCUUUAGCUGGUCUGAGAGGAUGAUCAGCCAGACUGGGACUGAGAACGGCCCAG
RNAcentral lists this ribosomal RNA (224 nucleotides) under uncultured bacterium. RNAcentral's name for it is "partial 16S ribosomal RNA". It matches the Rfam family "Bacterial small subunit ribosomal RNA", at positions 92 to 334 of the family's 1533-position model. The record is from RNAcentral.